UACCUGGUUGAUCCUGCCAGUAGUCAUAUGCUUGUUUCAAGGACUAAGCCAUGCAAGUCUCAGAGUAAAUGGAUCACAGUAGGUCUGCAGACAGCUCAUUAAAUCAGCUUCAAUCUACGCGGAGAUACUAGCUUCUGCUAGACUAUUGGAUAACUUUGGUAACCCCAAAGCUAAUACAUGUCAGCAUAUCCCACACAGAUUCAACCUCGGGGCUUCGGUUCUGGGGCUGUGUUGGGAGCAAUUGACCGAAAUAAAAACCAACGCUAGCAAUAGCAGCGGUGAUUGGAUGAUUCAGGUCAAUCGAGUAGUAGCGCAUACUUCGGUGGCGCUUGUCCGCAUGAGAAUCUGCCCUAUCAGCUUUUGACGGUAGUGUAGUGGACUACCGUGGCUGUAACGGGUAACGGGGAAUUAGGGUUCGAUUCCGGAGAGGGAGCCUGAGAAACGGCUACCACAACUAAGGUUGGCAGCAGGCGCGCAAAUUGCCCAAUAGCAACACAUCGCUGAGGCAGCGAAGAGAAAUAGCAACUUUAUGCGGCCCUGCCGUGUAAAGAUUGCCAUGGACGAUAUCUAAACCUGUCGGUGAGUAUCAAUUGGUGGACAAGUCUGGUGCCAGCACCCGCGGUAAUUCCAGCACCAAUAGC
This 641-nucleotide ribosomal RNA is filed under the name uncultured marine eukaryote. RNAcentral's name for it is "bacterial SSU rRNA". It matches the Rfam family "Eukaryotic small subunit ribosomal RNA", at positions 1 to 598 of the family's 1831-position model. The record is from RNAcentral.